AGCACACUAACAGUAAGUGGAGAUAUUAGUGUAUUACCUGUAUAUUUCAGAUGCUGAUGCUGCUACUACUGGAUCAAGUGAUGUGACUUACACACAGAUUCAACUCAAAAAGUUGGACAAGAAAAAGAAAAAAUUGACAGCUGAUCGAAAAGAAAAUCCAGUCUAUUCUGAGGUCAAGACAGGGAAGACCACAGGACCUGUUGAUGUGACCUAUGCUGAUGUUGACCUUAAACAGAAGGCCAAAGCCAAGAAGAAGAAAGAAACAUCAACCCCACCUGAGGCAGAUUCGGUCUAUUUUCCAUUGAAGCCAGUCACAGCACCAGGUCCUUGAGGGGGAAGGGAUAGAGGGUUAGAAGGAUGGAGGUAUAAAUGAUGGCUGAAUGGAAAUAUGGAGGGUUGGAGGGAUGGUGGUAUGGAGUGAUGG
Salvelinus sp. IW2-2015 is the source of this 424-nucleotide long non-coding RNA. RefSeq lists it as uncharacterized. Lineage: Eukaryota; Metazoa; Chordata; Actinopteri; Salmoniformes; Salmonidae. The record is from RefSeq and is a predicted model, not a curated record.